RNAcentral lists this ribosomal RNA (459 nucleotides) under uncultured bacterium. RNAcentral describes it as "bacterial SSU rRNA". It matches the Rfam family "Bacterial small subunit ribosomal RNA", at positions 28 to 459 of the family's 1533-position model. The record is from RNAcentral.
GACGAACGCUGGCGGCGUGCCUAAUACAUGCAAGUCGAGCGCGGGAAAUCUGCUGAACUCUUCGGAGGGACGCAGAUGGAACGAGCGGCGGACGGGUGAGUAACACGUGGGCAACCUGCCUGUAAGACGGGGAUAACUCCGGGAAACCGGAGCUAAUACCGGAUAACCUUUCGCACCGCAUGGUGCGAAACUAAAAGAUGGUUCUGCCAUCGCUUACAGAUGGACCCGCGGUGCAUUAGUUAGUUGGCGGGGUAACGGCCCACCAAGACAACGAUGCAUAGCCGACCUGAGAGGGUUGAUCGGCCCACAUUGGGACUGAGACACGGCCCAAAUCUCCUACGGGAGGCAGCAGUAGGGAAUCUUCCGCAAUGGACGAAAGGUCUGACGGAGCAACGCCGCGUGAGUGAAGAAGGUUUUCGGAUCGUAAAAGCUCUGUUGCCGGAGAAGAACGAAUUCUGA